GAUGAAGAACGCAGCAAAAUGCGAUAAGUAAUGUGAAUUGCAGAAUUCAGUGAAUCAUCGAAUCUUUGAACGCACAUUGCGCCCGCCAGUAUUCUGGCGGGCAUGCCUGUUCGAGCGUCAUUUCAACCCUCAAGCACAGCUUGGUGUUGGGACUCGCGUUAAUUCGCGUUCCCCAAAUUGAUUGGCGGUCACGUCGAGCUUCCAUAGCGUAGUAGUAAAACCCUCGUUACUGGUAAUCGUCGCGGCCACGCCGUUAAACCCCAACUUCUGAAUGUUGACCUCGGAUCAGGUAGGAAUACCCGCUGAACUUAAGCAUAUCAAUAAGCUGAGGA
Molecule: unclassified non-coding RNA, 332 nt
Filed under: soil metagenome
Description: partial contains 5.8S ribosomal RNA, internal transcribed spacer 2, and large subunit ribosomal RNA
Rfam family: 5.8S ribosomal RNA (bases 1-120)
Source: RNAcentral